CGUCGCGGGCAGUGACUUGCGCCGGGAGGUCUCCCGGACAGCGCCCCUCCCGUCGCCACCCUAGGGUCCGCCCCCGGGCCGUCCCCGUUCUGAAUGAACCCUCGGAUGCCAGGCCGCUCCCUAGGAUCCCUGCGGUGUUGGUAAAGAACCUAGGGCCUCUAAACCUGAACUCACCCAGCCCAGCAUGUAUUUCUAUUGGAUACAAAUUCAUAAUAGAAUUGCUGAGUUACAAAGAAUUACCAGGUCAGAAAGGGAUUGCUGCUUCCUUGCUUGGGAGCCAGAUGAGGUGGCCGGACUGCGUUCGGAUGCCAUGAUCACGGAGGAGGGCUCUAAAGCGCGGGGGCCUCACUUGAAGACGCACCAGAGCCACAGUGAAAGCCGAGAUGCGCAGAGGUCCAGCCCGGUCAAGGCAAGGACAGUUUGGU
This is a non-coding RNA of Heterocephalus glaber (naked mole-rat), 425 nucleotides long. NCBI's taxonomy places the organism in Eukaryota, Metazoa, Chordata, Mammalia, Rodentia, Bathyergidae. The record is from RefSeq and is a predicted model, not a curated record.